This 29-nucleotide small RNA is filed under the name Bombyx mori (domestic silkworm). RNAcentral's name for it is "ovarian small RNA-3213". Lineage: Eukaryota; Metazoa; Arthropoda; Insecta; Lepidoptera; Bombycidae. The record is from RNAcentral.
UCACCUUGUUCUUUAACUGCCUCUUUGAU